This 479-nucleotide ribosomal RNA is filed under the name uncultured organism. RNAcentral describes it as "partial 16S ribosomal RNA". It matches the Rfam family "Bacterial small subunit ribosomal RNA", at positions 331 to 801 of the family's 1533-position model. The record is from RNAcentral.
GUACACUCCUACGGGAGGCAGCAGUGGGGAAUUUUGGACAAUGGGCGAAAGCCUGAUCCAGCAAUGCCGCGUGAGUGAAGAAGGCCUUCGGGUUGUAAAGCUCUUUUGUCAGGGAAGAAACGGUGAGAGCUAAUAUCUCUUGCUAAUGACGGUACCUGAAGAAUAAGCACCGGCUAACUACGUGCCAGCAGCCGCGGUAAUACGUAGGGUGCAAGCGUUAAUCGGAAUUACUGGGCGUAAAGCGUGCGCAGGCGGUUUUGUAAGUCUGAUGUGAAAUCCCCGGGCUCAACCUGGGAAUUGCAUUGGAGACUGCAAGGCUAGAAUCUGGCAGAGGGGGGUAGAAUUCCACGUGUAGCAGUGAAAUGCGUAGAUAUGUGGAGGAACACCGAUGGCGAAGGCAGCCCCCUGGGUCAAGAUUGACGCUCAUGCACGAAAGCGUGGGGAGCAAACAGGAUUAGAUACCCGAGUAGUCCCAUGAU